Molecule: ribosomal RNA, 951 nt
Filed under: Pseudomonas aeruginosa
Lineage: Bacteria; Pseudomonadati; Pseudomonadota; Gammaproteobacteria; Pseudomonadales; Pseudomonadaceae
Description: bacterial SSU rRNA
Rfam family: Bacterial small subunit ribosomal RNA
Source: RNAcentral
AGAGUUUGAUCAUGGCUCAGAUUGAACGCUGGCGGCAGGCCUAACACAUGCAAGUCGAGCGGAUGAAGGGAGCUUGCUCCUGGAUUCAGCGGCGGACGGGUGAGUAAUGCCUAGGAAUCUGCCUGGUAGUGGGGGAUAACGUCCGGAAACGGGCGCUAAUACCGCAUACGUCCUGAGGGAGAAAGUGGGGGAUCUUCGGACCUCACGCUAUCAGAUGAGCCUAGGUCGGAUUAGCUAGUUGGUGGGGUAAAGGCCUACCAAGGCGACGAUCCGUAACUGGUCUGAGAGGAUGAUCAGUCACACUGGAACUGAGACACGGUCCAGACUCCUACGGGAGGCAGCAGUGGGGAAUAUUGGACAAUGGGCGAAAGCCUGAUCCAGCCAUGCCGCGUGUGUGAAGAAGGUCUUCGGAUUGUAAAGCACUUUAAGUUGGGAGGAAGGGCAGUAAGUUAAUACCUUGCUGUUUUGACGUUACCAACAGAAUAAGCACCGGCUAACUUCGUGCCAGCAGCCGCGGUAAUACGAAGGGUGCAAGCGUUAAUCGGAAUUACUGGGCGUAAAGCGCGCGUAGGUGGUUCAGCAAGUUGGAUGUGAAAUCCCCGGGCUCAACCUGGGAACUGCAUCCAAAACUACUGAGCUAGAGUACGGUAGAGGGUGGUGGAAUUUCCUGUGUAGCGGUGAAAUGCGUAGAUAUAGGAAGGAACACCAGUGGCGAAGGCGACCACCUGGACUGAUACUGACACUGAGGUGCGAAAGCGUGGGGAGCAAACAGGAUUAGAUACCCUGGUAGUCCACGCCGUAAACGAUGUCGACUAGCCGUUGGGAUCCUUGAGAUCUUAGUGGCGCAGCUAACGCGAUAAGUCGACCGCCUGGGGAGUACGGCCGCAAGGUUAAAACUCAAAUGAAUUGACGGGGGCCCGCACAAGCGGUGGAGCAUGUGGUUUAAUUCGA